UCCGUAGGGAGCAAGCGUUAAUCGGAAUUACUGGGCGUAAAGCGUGCGCAGGCGGUUAUGUAAGACAGAGGUGAAAUCCCCGGGCUCAACCUGGGAAAUGCCUUUGUGACUGCAUAGCUGGAGUAAGGCAGAGGGGGAUGGAAUUCCGCGUGUAGCAGUGAAAUGCGUAGAUAUGCGGAGGAACACCGAUGGCGAAGGCAAUACCCUGGGCCUGUACUGACGCUCAUGCACGAAAGCGUGGGUAGAAAACAGG
RNAcentral lists this ribosomal RNA (253 nucleotides) under uncultured bacterium. RNAcentral describes it as "partial 16S ribosomal RNA". It matches the Rfam family "Bacterial small subunit ribosomal RNA", at positions 524 to 776 of the family's 1533-position model. The record is from RNAcentral.